Molecule: long non-coding RNA, 404 nt
Organism: Crotalus tigris (Tiger rattlesnake)
Lineage: Eukaryota; Metazoa; Chordata; Lepidosauria; Squamata; Viperidae
Exons: 3
Source: RefSeq, a predicted model, not a curated record
GGGGAGAUUUCCUUGAAUCCCGUCCACCCAAGUUCUGUGCCAGAUCCUCCUCUCCUUCCACCACCCUGUCUGUUCCAAGCCCUUUUGAGAGCCAAGGUUUUUAGGACAGCCGAGCACGAAUGAAAGGUGAAACACUGGAUAAUAAAUGUUUCAAAGAAGAAAGCAUUGGGGAACCAAGCGGCUUUUCCUCUGACCUGCUGUUGACUCACCGACAGUCCCAUUCAUUUUAAUGGGAAGGCUAGUGAUGCGGCAGUGACGCAACAAGGUGAGGGACAUGGCGGGUAGCAGGUGAAUGGAUGCCCGCUAAUAGGUGCUGCCAUGAUGGAUCUGAAAUGCAGGUGCUCUUUAAAUGUAAGGACUCAUUCUUGCUGGUAGUUAGAAUCUUUAAUAUUAUUAUUAGCAAA